Long non-coding RNA from Penaeus chinensis, 345 nucleotides. RefSeq lists it as uncharacterized. The record is from RefSeq and is a predicted model, not a curated record. NCBI's taxonomy places the organism in Eukaryota, Metazoa, Arthropoda, Malacostraca, Decapoda, Penaeidae. The transcript has 3 exons.
UGAAACUGAAAGCCUUCGUAUAUCAGAUCCAGUAAAAGGAGACGGAGAGUUUGUAUAGUUUUAAACACGUUUUGUUCAAGUUACAACAUGGUAAAGAAAGCAAUUCUUGUGACAUUUUUCAUCGUCUGUUUUUUGGUCAUGGAGGCCGUGUCUACACCACGCCUUGUGACAACCGAACAGCCGCUGAUUGACUUUGAGCUUUACGGACCACCGAGGAAUCCUUGAAGGAACAACCCCUUCCUCUGCUGUCAUUCCGAACAAAACCAGGAGUUAGGAAGACAUGAAUAUACUACAUUCUCUGCAUAUGCGUAGAUAACAACUGCAAUAGAGGAACGUUUGUGAUUU